Long non-coding RNA from Onychomys torridus (southern grasshopper mouse), 1854 nucleotides. RefSeq lists it as uncharacterized. The transcript has 4 exons. The record is from RefSeq and is a predicted model, not a curated record. NCBI's taxonomy places the organism in Eukaryota, Metazoa, Chordata, Mammalia, Rodentia, Cricetidae.
AGGUCCUGGUAGCCACUGUUUGACUUGCCAUCUCCGACUUUCACUCCUCACGCACAGGAUCCCCAGAGGCCAUAGGCUACAGUGACUGAAGCCCUGGCAGUACCCAGUAGCAGGGUUCAGGAGACCUAGGCUCAGGCCAGCUCUGCACUUUGCGACAAGAGGGAACAGGCACGCCUGCUGCUCCCAGCUUGUGGUGCUGAUUUCAGGCAGGCACUGUCCUGCCGUGAUAAAGACAGACACUUCUGACUCAUCCAGAAGUGGUGAGUGGAGAGGAGCUGUGACUUCUGGGAACAGUGGAUGAGGAUUCACUCAGUCCCUGUGCUGGGAGUUCCAUGAAACUGUUUUGAUGCUGUGUGCACAACUGGAGAUUUCACAGGAGGGAGAAAGGAGAGCUGGGGAGACAGCCCGGGGGAUUCCUGGAACCACUUUGGGACUCCACAGUCUCCCCACUUGCAAGAAGGACUCGUUGGAGACCACCCCUUGACCUCAGACCCCCAGGUCCUAGAACCCUGAGAUGAUUAAUCACUGUCCUUCAUAAUCACCCACCCGUGGUGUUCUGUUAGAACAACAGAAAAGGGGCUAAGCUAGGCUUUCUCCCCUAGGGAGCCUUCCUGGCCUCCUGAGCCUGUGCAAAGUUCUGUAUACAAGGUAUAGUUCAGAGAUGAUGGGGUCUUCUUGAUUUCCCUGGGCUUAUUCUUGAACUCAUGUACAGAGGUGAGUGGAUGGGUGAGUGGCAUGUCCCGGUUAGCACAGGGAGGUUGAGAGGGAGAGUCCUUUCAGUCAGAGCCUGAGCCUGAGCCUGGAGGGCCACACGACAAGCUCACUGCAGACCACAGGCUCCUGUGGGCUGAGGCCAAAUCAUAACCACACAGAAGCAUACAAUACCUUAUUUAGGCAAGACUCAUCUGGGAUGAUGAGAGCAUGGUCAGGUGGGUGACAGGGGUCUCCUUACUCAUUACAAAUGGAUUGUAUCCCCCAUGUCCACCUGAAUAAAUGUCCCCAGUGUGAGGACCCCAGAAGGGCACCUACAAAGAUGAUCAGGAUUGUAGUUUAAGUAGAUGUGAGAUGCUCCAGAUGACACACCACAUUUCUUGCCUAGUCUGCUAAGGGCACAAGCUAACCCAGCCAAAGUGGAGGCAGAGGACCUGUAGACACUCAGCCAAAAUCACGUCACCCUCAAGGGUUCCAGCCAGCGAGAAGCAAGCCAGCCAGAAGCACAGUGUCAGAGCUCUAGCUGCAUCUAGGCGGGGAUGUGUCUCCAAGGUAUAAAGUGUGAAGGGUUUUCUAACAUCUGCCAUUGAUGCUUAGUGAUGCAGAACAUCACAGUGAUGUGAAGAGACAGGAGAUAGGGGCUGAAUUGUUCCUAAACUCAUAAUGGAAUCUUUACUCCAGCACCUUGGGAUAGAACUUUGCUAGCAGUAGGAGCUAGCUAUGGGAUUAAUUAAGAUAAGGUCACCUUGGAGUAGGGUAGGGUCUCAGCUAGUGAGACUAGUGUCUAUGUAGAAAGGGGAUUAUGGACCCUGGCUAGUACAUGAGGCAGAGGUGGGGGGAUGUAUCUAGGUACCAAGGAACCCAAAUAUUGCUAGAAAAUUCAGAGGCAGAAGGGAGAUCUGGAACAUAUUGGCCCACAGACACUGAGGAUCCCUUAUCUUGAGUUCUAAUUUAAGAACCCCAAGCCUGAGACAUUCUUUCUAAGUCCACUCUCCACUAGCUGUGGUAUUUGGUGACACUGGUCCAGCCAAGCCCAUGAAGUACCAAUAAGGUAGGAGAGAGUUUUAGACUGGCCUGGGCAAUCUGACGAGAACAUUGCCUCAAAAGAGGUCAGUUUUCUAAACUAACAUCACACACACACAC